GACGAACGCUGGCGGCGUGCCUAAUACAUGCAAGUUGAGCGAUGAAGCUUGGUGCUUGCACCAAUUUGAAGAGCAGCGAACGGGUGAGUAACGCGUGGGGAAUCUGCCUUUGAGCGGGGGACAACAUUUGGAAACGAAUGCUAAUACCGCAUAAUAACUUUAAACAUAAGUUUUAAGUUUGAAAGAUGCAAUUGCAUCACUCAAAGAUGAUCCCGCGUUGUAUUAGCUAGUUGGUGAGGUAAAGGCUCACCAAGGCGAUGAUACAUAGCCGACCUGAGAGGGUGAUCGGCCACAUUGGGACGGAGACACGGCCCAAACUCCUAGGGGAGGCAGCAGUAGGGAAUCGUCGGCAAUGGGCGAAAGUCUGACCGAGCAACGCCGAGUGAGGGAAGAAGGAUUUCGGAUCGUAAAACUCUGUUGGUAGAGAAGAACGUUGGUGAGAGUGGAAAGCACAGCAAGUGACGGUAACGACCCAGAAAGGGACGGCUAACUACGUG
This 497-nucleotide ribosomal RNA is filed under the name uncultured bacterium. RNAcentral's name for it is "partial 16S ribosomal RNA". It matches the Rfam family "Bacterial small subunit ribosomal RNA", at positions 28 to 507 of the family's 1533-position model. The record is from RNAcentral.